UGAUCUGGGUUUACCAAUCAGCUUGUUAUAUUAAUGUUUUUAUUCUUACAGGACAAUUGGAACAAUAUAAAGGGCAUGGAAGAGUCUUAUUUCACCUAGGGUAAAUGUGAUGGCUGAAUUUUUAGUGCAUUGUCUUAUCAGUUGCUGAAUACUUUUUUCAGGGUUGCUGAAACAUUACACCCAGAAGCUGGAUGGCAAUCUAAGUGAUUUUUCAACCUUGAGAAGUUGACAGACUGCGAAAGAAGACUUGUUCAAUACAGAGGCUCAGCACUUAUGGAGGUCUGCAGAGCAACAGUUUGUCCUCCCUUCUUUCUGCUGCCAUCAUAUGAGAGAACACCCUCUCUGAUACCUAUGUUCUCAUGCUGCUACUGCUUGGAGUGCCCUAUGCUGAUAAUCACCAGUGACGUUACUGGGCUGGAUGCAGCAGGAGUUACAAAGCAAGGGGUGUUAGAGGAUCUGAUAGUAGGCAGAGUGGGGAGGAAAGCUCCAAUUCUAAUCACUAAGGGGUUGAAAGAAUGAUGAGUAACUGUGAAGCUGAGGCUGGAGGUACAGCAGAAAUGACUUAUCCUGGAUAACUUUACGUUUGUAAUGUGUGUAGAUUGCACUGCAGCAUUUAGAAAUAACUGACAUGCAG
RNAcentral lists this long non-coding RNA (634 nucleotides) under Anser brachyrhynchus (Pink-footed goose). Its description in RNAcentral is "lncRNA (ENSABRG00000019522.1)". The record is from RNAcentral. Lineage: Eukaryota; Metazoa; Chordata; Aves; Anseriformes; Anatidae.